GAUGAAGAACGUAGCGAAAUGCGAUAAGUAAUGUGAAUUGCAGAAUUCAGUGAAUCAUCGAAUCUUUGAACGCACAUUGUGCCCCUUGGUAUUCCGAGGGGCAUGCCUGUUCGAGCGUCAUUAUAACCCCUCAAGCUCGGCUUGGUGUUGGGGCCUGCCGCACGGGCAGCCCUUAAAAUCAGUGGCGGUGCCAUCUGGCUCUAAGCGUAGUAAUUCUUCUCGCUAUAGAGUCCCGGUGGAUGCUUGCCAUUAACCCCCAAUUUCAAUGGUUGACCUCGGAUCAGGUAGGGAUACCCGCUGAACUUAAGCAUAUCAAUAAGCGGAGGA
RNAcentral lists this unclassified non-coding RNA (327 nucleotides) under soil metagenome. RNAcentral describes it as "partial contains 5.8S ribosomal RNA, internal transcribed spacer 2, and large subunit ribosomal RNA". The stretch from base 1 to 120 matches the Rfam family "5.8S ribosomal RNA", at positions 35 to 154 of the family's 154-position model. The record is from RNAcentral.